ACGCUGCACUUUUCUUCUUCUCCAUGCCCGAAGCGUUUCCAUGGAAGGGGGUUUAGGUUUCAAUUUUUUUUCUUUGAUUUCUCUCUACACAAGAAUCCAAAUCAAAAAGUCUAAUACACAAAAUUUAUAGGAAAUCACUCAAGGAAUCCAUUCCACCACUCUAUUUGGGCUGAUUUUGCUUGUGGAGGAAGUUCUUCCUCACCCUCCUUUCGUUUCACUAUUCAUCAAGGAAGGAAAAUGAAAAUUUUGAUGGAGCCUUGCUUGGAAGUUGCUCUCUAGACCUUGUACAAGCUAUUAGAGGUGUACCUAGGGACUGAAAAGGAUCAGAAUCUCUUGAAGAUAUAUAAGUAACUUGUGCCACAAGUAAGCGGAUUGAAAAAAAAAAGCUUCAAGAGGAACACAGUUAAUUGAAGAGCCUCAUGGGACAAGGACACAAACUGUGGCUAGAGGUACUAGUAUGAGGAUGUGGAGUUCUGGGUGGCUGGAGGCUACUAUUUCUUUUAGACGUAUUUUUGAAAAAGAUGUAUUGUUGUAUAAUGUUCAUAUUCGAUGCAUGUACAUUUGUGUAUUCAGAUAUGUGCAUGUGCUGAAAUACGUAUGCUGUUAGACAUAGUGGCACAAAGCUAAGUUAUGCAUGCGCCCAUGAAUGGAUAUAUGAUUUUAUUUUGGA
Long non-coding RNA from Gastrolobium bilobum, 670 nucleotides. RefSeq lists it as uncharacterized. NCBI's taxonomy places the organism in Eukaryota, Viridiplantae, Streptophyta, Magnoliopsida, Fabales, Fabaceae. The transcript is spliced from 3 exons. The record is from RefSeq and is a predicted model, not a curated record.